GCCGGCAUGGCGCAACUGGUAGCGCACCCGACUUGUAAUCGGAAGGUUGCGGGUUCAAGUCCCGCUGCCGGCU
Molecule: transfer RNA, 73 nt
Filed under: Angustibacter sp. Root456
Lineage: Bacteria; Bacillati; Actinomycetota; Actinomycetes; Kineosporiales; Kineosporiaceae
Also listed under: 2 other names
Rfam family: tRNA
About the family: Transfer RNA (tRNA) molecules are approximately 80 nucleotides in length. Their secondary structure includes four short double-helical elements and three loops (D, anti-codon, and T loops).
Source: Rfam by way of RNAcentral